CUGGAGCCUUGUAAACGCACAGUUUCUCCUUUGCAAAGAUACACCCAAAUAAUAAAAAUAACUUGCAUCAAUGUUAAAUAAUUUGGAGUAUCAAUUAUCCUAUAACCUAACUAGUGAAUUGUCACUGUCACACAGGCUGGAAAGUUUCUUGAAGUCCUGAGCCUCACAACAGGCAACCUGCAGAAAGGAGCCCUGCAAUGAGGAGCUUGCAGAAAUCAUCUGGGUUCUAGCUGUAUCAUAUCUUGGGCUCAGUUGGCCCAGCACCAUGAAAACCUAUUUGAAAGACAUGGAAUAAAACAUCAUUAAAUGUUCCUAGAUGUUUUCCAGUGUUUCAACCAAAGAUGUUACCUGGGCAGUGGAAUUCUGUGGAGAAAUUGCUGGCUGCUGAUGUACCUGAUGUAUCUUGGUCCACGGGAGUGACUUUUGUACUCUAUGCACUCUGAUUUUACUCAGGAGCAACUUUUGAACUCUACAUGUGCUGAUUAUUCCUUCAUACUGGUAUUCUCUGAAGACUUUUCAGGUGGCUGCAUGGACAUUGUUGGAGGACAUGAAGUGCAUCCUCACUCCUGAGCUUAUAUGGCUGC
Molecule: long non-coding RNA, 584 nt
Filed under: Cyanistes caeruleus (blue tit)
Lineage: Eukaryota; Metazoa; Chordata; Aves; Passeriformes; Paridae
Description: lncRNA (ENSCCEG00000016295.1)
Source: RNAcentral